This 290-nucleotide unclassified non-coding RNA is filed under the name Hevea brasiliensis (rubber tree). The record is from RNAcentral. Lineage: Eukaryota; Viridiplantae; Streptophyta; Magnoliopsida; Malpighiales; Euphorbiaceae.
AAUAAUUGCUUGUAGUAUGAAAAUGACAAAUUUUGGCCAAUCCCUUAUUCAUAAGUUGCAAUUGCAGCCAAACAAUUAAAAGCCCAUUUAAUCAUAUGUAAAAUGAGUUUCUGGUAUAUCUAUUACGAAAACAUACAUCAACCAAAGGAUGGGCCUAUUUAUAAUAGGCCACCAAAUAUAUUAGUAUAUGGACUCAAUUUUUCCUUUUCUGAGUUGAAGUUACAGGUAAUUAAAGGGUUUUAAACGACUUAGAUAACUAAUAAUUGUAGGCUAAAAUUCGGUAUUUUCAA